RNAcentral lists this ribosomal RNA (305 nucleotides) under uncultured bacterium. RNAcentral's name for it is "bacterial SSU rRNA". It matches the Rfam family "Bacterial small subunit ribosomal RNA", at positions 333 to 636 of the family's 1533-position model. The record is from RNAcentral.
UGUGCCCUACGGGGCGUAGCAGUGAGGAAUAUUGGUCAAUGGACGCAAGUCUGAACCAGCCAAGUCGCGUGAGGGAAGACGGUCCUAUGGAUUGUAAACCUCUUUUGUCGGGGAGCAAAAGACGCCACGCGUGGCGUUCCGAGAGUACCCGAAGAAAAAGCAUCGGCUAACUCCGUGCCAGCAGCCGCGGUAAUACGGAGGAUGCGAGCGUUAUCCGGAUUUAUUGGGUUUAAAGGGUGCGCAGGCGGAAGAUCAAGUCAGCGGUAAAAUUGAGAGGCUCAACCUCUUCGAGCCGUUGAAACUGG